Long non-coding RNA from Lineus longissimus, 2050 nucleotides. RefSeq lists it as uncharacterized. The record is from RefSeq and is a predicted model, not a curated record. NCBI's taxonomy places the organism in Eukaryota, Metazoa, Nemertea, Pilidiophora, Heteronemertea, Lineidae. The transcript is spliced from 7 exons.
UUGGUUUUAAACCUAAUGAAAUGGGCAGACUGUUUGAAAUCAGAAUAGACUUCUUCGACAGCACAGGUUUAAUGUAACUGAAGACAGGAACCUAAGUGAUACUCUCUGCAUCAGUUUUACGUCAUUUUAUCUGUCGCUAAACAUUGACAAUCAACCCUGAGGAAAGAAUGGUAAGAACAAGGCACGUCCGGCUCACAGAUUGGUGCGACACAGCAGGUUAUACAGUGAAGCAGUAUCAUCGCAAUUUUCAGUGGCCACAAUUUCAGGUACCACUGGCGCAAGAAUAAUGGACAUACAUCUGAGCAGCAGUAGCAGGAGCUCAUAGUGCUGAUUGCCUUCAGGGACUUUGUCUCCAAUCAUGAUGGGAAGACUUCUGAUGAGACACCACAUUUGUGCUGCCUUCUGGCCCAUUCCAUGAUCUGCUAUGCUUCGAAGAGAGGAUUCCAGUGGACAAGAGGGCUUGUUCUUCUGGUCGCUCAGGCCAUAUUGGAAAGACUUUAUGCGUCUCUGCAAGGUGUCACAGGGUUGGUUACUUCGACAUCAUCGUAAUAUAGUUGCAAACGCAACGCAUUUGGAUGGUCUCGGAAUAAGGCAUGCUGUUGGAACUGUUCCCCAUCGUGGUACCCUUCCAUGAUCAAGACACCCAUUCUUCUGCGUUCUUCUGACUGGAUCAAGAACAUAAUGCUUGGAUUAAGAAUAAGCUGUAGUGCACGGGGAAGUGCUGAUGGACGUCGGCCAGUGGUCUUGUCCAAGCAUUUGGAACAAAUCUCUCCAAGAGGCAAGAGGUCUUUUACAUUGAACAUCAGUAACUGUAUCACCUUUCCCAGGGAGUAGACAUCAAUUAUACUUCCAACCAGACCUUUGGAUAGACCCCCAGGAAGAAAAGAAACUUGAAGAGGGUGGAAACCAUGUGACAGUCCAAUCAGGAAAGAAAGCAUGUUGCAACACAUUGACAUUGAUGAAGCGUUUCGAUUUUAAGUUUCAAAAUCAAAACACUCUGUUCAACUUACUGUCCUAGAUAGCUAGAUGUGUGAUUGUUAUCAUAGUCGUCAUUCCGGUAUUAAGUUAUUGUUGUCUUUGUUCAAGGUAUUUUAUCUCGCUUAUAAGUGACAUGUUUUUGAUAAAACUUUUGAAAAUCUGUGUAAAUUGCAUCAUAUUCAAAUCAGUCUACUGAUAUAACUUUCAGACGUGUCAAAGAAUACUAUUUUAUUGCUGUUUUUUGUUGGUCUGCAACUAGCAUCAUACUGUUGAGUGAAUAAAUAAUAAUUUACCAAAUAUACAUUGCGUUGCCUUCAGGAAGUCAUAAGACCUCAGCGAGGCAACUGGCCAAUGUAAAUCUGUGUAAAUUGCAUCAGAUUCAAAUCAGUCUACUGUAAAAGUCAGACCCUUCAAAGUAGAUUAUUUAGUUGCUGUUUUUUGUUGGUACUGUUGAGUGAAUGAAUUACAAUUUACCAAAUGUAUAUUGUGUUGCCUUCAGGAAGUCAGAAGACCUCAGCGAGGCAACUGGCCAAUGUAAAUCUGUGUAAAUUGCAUCAGAUUCAAAUCAGUCUACUGUAAAAGUCAGACCCUUCAAAGUAGAUUAUUUAGUUGAUGUUUUUUGUUGGUACUGUUGAGUGAAUGAAUUACAAUUUACCAAAUGUAUAUUGUGUUGCCUUCAGGAAGUCAUAAGACCUCAGCGAGGCAACUGGCCAAUGUAAAUCUGUGUGAAUUGCAUCAGAUUCAAAUCACUAUACAAAUAUAACUUUCAGACAUGUCAAAGUAUACUAUUUUAUUGCUGUUUUUUGUUGGUCUGCAACUAGCAUCAUACUGUUGAGUGAAUAAAUUACAAUUUACCAAAUAUACAUUGCGUUGCCUUCAGGAAGUCGGAAGACCUCAGCGAGGCAACUGGCCAAUGUAAAUCGGUGUUAAUUGCAUCAGAUUCAAAUCAGUCGCCUGAUACAACAGUCAGAGUCAGACACAUCAAGUAAACUAUUAUUGUUGGGUUUUUUUGACACCCGCUGCAUGUAGUGUAUUGGUUAGUAAAUAAAUAAUUUAGCAAAUAUACAUACUA